RNAcentral lists this ribosomal RNA (253 nucleotides) under uncultured bacterium. Its description in RNAcentral is "partial 16S ribosomal RNA". It matches the Rfam family "Bacterial small subunit ribosomal RNA", at positions 524 to 776 of the family's 1533-position model. The record is from RNAcentral.
UACGUAGGGGGCUAGCGUUGUCCGGAAUCAUUGGGCGUAAAGCGCGCGUAGGCGGUCAGGUAAGUCCGGUGUGAAAGUCAAAGGCUCAACCUUUGAAUGCCGCUGGAUACUGCCUGACUUGAAUCCGGGAGAGGUGAGUGGAAUUCCGAGUGUAGAGGUGAAAUUCGUAGAUAUUCGGAAGAACACCAGUGGCGAAGGCGGCUCACUGGACCGGUAUUGACGCUGAGGUGCGAAAGCCAGGGGAGCAAACGGG